UCUGUGCAACCCCAGGCUUUAACGAGAUGAACGUUGCUGACCCAGAGCUGCUUUGUUCAGUUUCUUUACAAGAGCCAGAAUCAUUAUAAACUCACCUGAACUGAGAGAGUCACUUGGCAGACUUCUGAUGUUUGAACCUUACUAAUGAAAGCAGUGAUAUAUAGGGACAACUACCAUUUAAUUGUAGGAAUUCACACUGAGAAAAGUGAUUGCUUGCAACUCACAUGUAUUCACGUAGUUUAUAAUUCCCCCAAACAAGUCUCUGCCAGAGACGCUGCUGCACCAUUUGCAGGGCAAGAACAGAAAAAGCACAAAAAAGUCUGUCCCACAUGUGUGUCAAAGAAAUGAGAACACACCAUCUACUUUGCCAGUGAUAGAGGGUCUGCUCUCCCCACUCUGGCAUGCACACUGGAAGUGUCCCCCAUCUGAGGAAGGACAUGGUGGAGAAUGAACUUAGGGAGUAUUUGGGACAAAGUAAAAUUUAUUAAAUGUUUGCUUAUAUUCUCCAGUAUUGCAAAAUGCAAAGAGAGGUAGAGUCUGUGACAAGUCUCCUCUCAAACAGAUAGAAAAACCUUGAGUCACUCUUUGGAAUAGCAUUUUGGUAAAGAACAAACUCUUGCAGGGAAUUGGGUUAAUCAGGGAAAUGAUUAGAAGUUAUUUUGGAGACAAGGCUGGUGAAUAAGAUUAAUAAUGCCACUGGCAGAGGGCAUAUUCUAGGCCAGAAAUGAAAUGUACAGGGGAGCAGGGAUUGUUACUAUGUUAGAGAGAGAGAGGGGGGAGAAUGAUUGAAAAUGUGAAAGCAUCAGAUGAAGAGUAAACUCACUACACAAUUCCAUAUUGGCUCUAAAUUCAAUGCUAAAAAGAAAACUGCCAAAAAUAUUUUGAGAAAUGAUGGUGAUAGCAACAGGAGACAGACAAAUUCCUAGGCAGACAGGGAUGAGUCCCUGGUGAAACCUGAUCUUCAAGCCAAGAACAGUUUAAAAUCUGAAAACCAAGCUGCCAGUUCCAGAUAGAGUCCAUGACCAGAGUGAGAACUUCCAUCCCCAUCUUACCCUCUCUCUCUCUAUUGAUUCCUUCUGAAUGAUGCCUUUUAACCAAUCGAAUGGUGCUUUCCGAGACCACCCAUGGGCCAAUCAGCAUGCACUCCCCCAUUGUAAGCCCAUAAAAACCCUGGACUCAGUCUCACAGAGGGCUACCCACUUCCAGGUCUCCUCUCACAUCUGAGAGCUUUCUUUCUGUCACUCGAUAAAAUUCUACUCUGCCUUACUCACUCUCUGUUGUCUGUGUACCUUAUUCCUUUUGGUUGCAGGACAAGAACCUGGAACUCACCAACCUGUGGGAGUGAAAGAGCUGUAAUGCUUCCGUUUGCCAAGCUGCAGGCAGCAGGAAUAAAAGAGCUGUAACCCUCUCUCCUGCUCAAUGAACAACAGGAGAGAAGAAGCUGCUGGGUGCCACUCCCUCCUGCUUGCCAAACUACAGGAGUUAAAAAGCCCCAACAAUGUCCACCCAUUCAGGCUCAAGGCACUGGGUGCCACAUUAAAAGCCUCUGCAACGACACACUGUGAUCUAGGGAGCUUCCCCAGGUCUCAACCUGACCUUCUGUUCUGACCAUUUGCCUCAUACUCUGACCAUGUGGCUCCCGAUCCUGAGCUGAUUCUCUUGGGCUGCCUCCUGAUUCUAGGCCUUGAUUCUGAUCAUGAAAACUCAUGGGAAACGACGUCUGGCAGAUCAUUCCACCCCACCUCUGACUAUGCUCAGACUAGCCCUCCAGGACCUCAUCCACUAGACUUCCCAGUGCAUUCAUCCAAGGAGAAUAUCAGGGAAGGGAGAGGUCAAGCAUGAGAAAGACUGAUGUGGAAGUAAAGAAACCUGAAUUCUUGACCCCGCCCUGCUACUAGCCAGCCUUCUGAUAUCAGGUACACUUUUAUUUCAUGUAUUUAUCAAGCAUCCAGUACCUAGCCAAGCAUAGUACUGGCACUUCAGGAACAACACAGAUGAAUAAGAAAUAGGAUCUGUUUUUAAGAAGCCCAUGGGGAAGCAGACCCAUACAUAAAAUCUAAGCCACAAAAUAUUGUAGGAUCUACUAUGUAGGGUGCUUGAGGGUAGGUCCCAGGGGUCUCCAAGAAAUGCAUGAUUGAUGGUAACUGGUUUGCGGAGGAAAGGAUUGGCAUAGGCUCACCUCAGUCUUCCUGUUACCAUAACAAAGGCAGACUGCAGUAUCUAUAGCAUCAUUCUUCUAGAACUGUAAGUAUCUCUGAAUUUAUGUAAUUGGGGAACCACAGCACAGAAAUGAUGGGUAUUUUCCCAUAGUCCUAUGAAGAUUUUGUGGCAAGGCCAAGGCUGGGACAGAAGUAUUGGGACUCCUGAAACAGUGCUCCUUCCAUCAGCACUAAUUCAGUCUCGGUGCUGAGUUGCCUUACAAAGUUAAUUAAUUCAAACACGUCUGCUUAUUUUAUCCAAAACAGAACUUGAAAUAUCCACAGUGGUUCUCAGCUUGAACCUAAUUUUGAACAAAGAGAAAGAACUGUUCUGCAAACCCUCUCCAUUUUUCUCACAGCACAUGAUGAGCACUGGGGCUCUUUGCAGAAGUCCCUUAUGGUAAAAACAAAACAAAACAUAGUGCUCACUCCAAUAAACUUGCAGUCAACCCUAGCCCAGAAGCAAAAUCCCGUGCAGAGAAUACAAUCCCUUGUUCCUCACAAAUCUAAAAGGGAAAGAGAUUUGUGAGUAGAGCUUUCAGCUAUGCGAAUAGACCAUUGUUCAUCAGGCAUCUCAUUGUAAAUUCUACUUUAAAACUUGUUUGUUUCCACUGAACCCCUGAAUUUUUUACUUGUGUACCUAUUUGUAACAAAAAGGAGAAUUCCAAAAGCACAAAGGAAAUGUAGAGGAUGAGAAAGAGAGAGGGAGAGGG
Molecule: long non-coding RNA, 2911 nt
Filed under: Homo sapiens (human)
Lineage: Eukaryota; Metazoa; Chordata; Mammalia; Primates; Hominidae
Description: HSALNT0373395
Source: RNAcentral